Molecule: ribosomal RNA, 429 nt
Filed under: bacterium
Lineage: Bacteria
Description: partial 16S ribosomal RNA
Rfam family: Bacterial small subunit ribosomal RNA
Source: RNAcentral
UAGGGAAUCUUCGGCAAUGGGGGCAACCCUGACCGAGCAACGCCGCGUGAGUGAAGAAGGUUUUCGGAUCGUAAAGCUCUGUUGUAAGAGAAGAACGUGUGUGAGAGUGGAAAGUUCACACAGUGACGGUAACUUACCAGAAAGGGACGGCUAACUACGUGCCAGCAGCCGCGGUAAUACGUAGGUCCCGAGCGUUGUCCGGAUUUAUUGGGCGUAAAGCGAGCGCAGGCGGUUUAAUAAGUCUGAAGUUAAAGGCGGUGGCUUAACCAUUGUUCGCUUUGGAAACUGUUAAACUUGAGUGCAGAAGGGGAGAGUGGAAUUCCAUGUGUAGCGGUGAAAUGCGUAGAUAUAUGGAGGAACACCGGUGGCGAAAGCGGCUCUCUGGUCUGUAACUGACGCUGAGGCUCGAAAGCGUGGGGAGCAAACAGG